RNAcentral lists this ribosomal RNA (411 nucleotides) under uncultured prokaryote. Its description in RNAcentral is "bacterial SSU rRNA". It matches the Rfam family "Bacterial small subunit ribosomal RNA", at positions 505 to 918 of the family's 1533-position model. The record is from RNAcentral.
GUGUCAGCAGCCGCGGAAAUACGGAGGGUGCAAGCGUUGUCCGGAAUCACUGGGUGUAAAGGGUGUGUAGGCGGGGCUGUAAGUCAGAGGUGAAAUCCCACGGCUCAACCGUGGAACUGCCUUUGAUACUGCAGCUCUUGAGUCCCGGAGAGGUGGCUGGAAUUCGUGGUGUAGCGGUGAAAUGCGUAGAUAUCACGAGGAACACCAGAGGUGUAGACGGGUCACUGGACGGGUACUGACGCUGAGGCACGAAAGCGUGGGGAGCAAACAGGAUUAGAUACCCUGGUAGUCCACGCCCUAAACGAUGUUCACUCGCUGUUGGGCCUAGGGGUUCAGCGGCUAAGGGAAACCGAUAAGUGAACCACCUGGGGAGUACGCCCGCAAGGGUGAAACUCAAAUGAAUUGACGGGG